RNAcentral lists this long non-coding RNA (1301 nucleotides) under Gadus morhua (Atlantic cod). Its description in RNAcentral is "lncRNA (ENSGMOG00000029186.1)". Lineage: Eukaryota; Metazoa; Chordata; Actinopteri; Gadiformes; Gadidae. The record is from RNAcentral.
AUGGCGGGGAAGGACUGGUUCACCUCCUUCAUGGAGCGCAGUGGCAGCCACUCCCUUCGGCGUCCAGAGGCCACUAGCCAACAACGGUUGUCUAAUUUCAACCAAAGAAAUGUCAACUUGUUCCACCAAAAUUUAAAGACGGUGCUGGACCGGCACCAGUUCCAGGCCAAGGAUAUUUGGAACAUUGAUGAAACCGGGGUCACCACUGUCCAGGUGCCAGACCGUGUCGUCGCCCAGAUGGGGCAGAAGCAGGUCGGGUCAGUGACCUCAGCGGAGAGGGGGACCCUGGUCACAGUUGCCUUGGCAGGCAAUGCUCAGGGCGACCUUGUUCCGCAAUUCUUCAUCUUCCCACGCAUGGACGUACCUGAACGAGCUGCCGGGCCUGCAGAAGCUGCCGGGCCUGACGAAGCUGUCCGGCCUGAGGGAGAUGCCGUUGAAUUCAGCCCGGACAUCGUCCGGCCUUACCCUAAGGCCGGACCUAGAAAGAUCACAAAGAGAAGAGGGAGAAAGAGGACAACUGCUAUACUGACGGACACCCCGGUGAGGGCUGCUUUAGAGGCGGAAAAGCAGGGAACUGUGAAGCAGUGUCGUCCCGCCAAGCAGCCUCCCUCCUCUCGGGCUCCCAAGAAGAGGCUCUUCUCGCCCGCUCCUGAAGCCGCCCCCCUUGCUGGAGUCACACCUGGUGCCACCUCAGCUGCUCCUCCCACCAUCACCGGGCCCGCUGAUGGAGGCAGCCCCACCUUAGGCCUAGUGUGUCCUGUUCCGGAGGCAGCAGAGUUCACCACUAUUGCUGCCUCUACUUCUCCAAUUUAUUUAGGCCUAUCCAGCGAGGACGUCAGCUGCCUCGUGUGCUGCGAGCUCUUCAGCGCCUCCAUGCCUUGGGAAGAGUGGGUCCAGUGUGUCUUUUGCUACAAGUGGUCGCAUGAGGCUUGCACCGACGGGAGUGCACACUACCUGUGUCACCUGUGUGACAAAGAAUAAAAAUAUUUAGCCUACUAUACUGUCCAUGUGUCUUCACUAGUUUGCAGUGGAAAUACUGUAAAUGUAGGCCUACAGCACAAUUCACUUAACAUUAUAGACUGAUUAACUAACUGAGGCCUGGGUUAGGCUAUGAGUGGGAGCUUGGCUAUUGAAUAUUUUGCAGGGUAGGCCUACUUUUCGUCCAUCAUUGUAACGCAUCAAAAAUAACAAUGGCUACAUUAAAUGAUGACAAUAAUAUUUUAAUUUAGUGGACAUGCACACUGAAGAACUGCUGGAUAUAAGCUAUAGGCUAGCCUUCUACACCCUUGCUCUUGGUCACG